Molecule: ribosomal RNA, 1007 nt
Filed under: Escherichia coli
Lineage: Bacteria; Pseudomonadati; Pseudomonadota; Gammaproteobacteria; Enterobacterales; Enterobacteriaceae
Description: partial 23S ribosomal RNA
Rfam family: Bacterial large subunit ribosomal RNA
Source: RNAcentral
GUACCCCGAGGAAAAGAAAUCAACCGAGAUUCCCCCAGUAGCGGCGAGCGAACGGGGAGCAGCCCAGAGCCUGAAUCAGUAUGUGUGUUAGUGGAAGCGUCUGGAAAGGCGCGCGAUACAGGGUGACAGCCCCGUACACAAAAAUGCACAUGCUGUGAGCUCGAUGAGUAGGGCGGGACACGUGGUAUCCUGUCUGAAUAUGGGGGGACCAUCCUCCAAGGCUAAAUACUCCUGACUGACCGAUAGUGAACCAGUACCGUGAGGGAAAGGCGAAAAGAACCCCGGCGAGGGGAGUGAAAAAGAACCUGAAACCGUGUACGUACAAGCAGUGGGAGCACGCUUAGGCGUGUGACUGCGUACCUUUUGUAUAAUGGGUCAGCGACUUAUAUUCUGUAGCAAGGUUAACCGAAUAGGGGAGCCGAAGGGAAACCGAGUCUUAACUGGGCGUUAAGUUGCAGGGUAUAGACCCGAAACCCGGUGAUCUAGCCAUGGGCAGGUUGAAGGUUGGGUAACACUAACUGGAGGACCGAACCGACUAAUGUUGAAAAAUUAGCGGAUGACUUGUGGCUGGGGGUGAAAGGCCAAUCAAACCGGGAGAUAGCUGGUUCUCCCCGAAAGCUAUUUAGGUAGCGCCUCGUGAAUUCAUCUCCGGGGGUAGAGCACUGUUUCGGCAAGGGGGUCAUCCCGACUUACCAACCCGAUGCAAACUGCGAAUACCGGAGAAUGUUAUCACGGGAGACACACGGCGGGUGCUAACGUCCGUCGUGAAGAGGGAAACAACCCAGACCGCCAGCUAAGGUCCCAAAGUCAUGGUUAAGUGGGAAACGAUGUGGGAAGGCCCAGACAGCCAGGAUGUUGGCUUAGAAGCAGCCAUCAUUUAAAGAAAGCGUAAUAGCUCACUGGUCGAGUCGGCCUGCGCGGAAGAUGUAACGGGGCUAAACCAUGCACCGAAGCUGCGGCAGCGACGCUGAUGCGUUGUUGGGUAGGGGAGCGUUCUGUAAGCCUGC